AGAAGUGGAGCAUCUCUAUUGCACUUUAGAAGCAGAAGCAGUAAAGCCCCAAAAUACUGAGACAGCACCAAUGAUCUGAAUCUUGGAAUUCUAUUCUCUGAUUCAACGUGUUACAAACAAACAUAUUCCACCUGUUACAACAAUCUGGCAUAUUACUUUCUUGAUACGUGAUGAUACAAUACCUCUCAGGUUUGCGAGUAGCAAAGAGAAAUCUGGUUCCACAACUAUCAGAUGACAGUCUCAGAGGAUUUUGGUUCUUCCAGGGAACUGCAGGACAACUGCAAAAGUGGAUGUCUGAGUAACAUGGCCAUGUACAGAGGAGUCCUAAUCCAUGAGCCUGUCUCUUUGGUGCAAUCACAAUAUAAGCAAGCAGAAAACACAAGAGAUG
Molecule: long non-coding RNA, 388 nt
Organism: Melopsittacus undulatus (budgerigar)
Lineage: Eukaryota; Metazoa; Chordata; Aves; Psittaciformes; Psittaculidae
Exons: 4
Source: RefSeq, a predicted model, not a curated record